AAAUGAAAAUUUUAUUUAUACCAUAUAAGAAUAAUAUUGAAAACCAACCAUUAUGUAUAAAUGCUCACACCAAACAUCUUGAUGCCAAUAUGAAGAUUAACAGAAAUCACCAAUCACAUCCUGUGUGGGUACUUCUUAGGACAACAAAAUGAUAAGUUGGAAAAAACAACGAUUAAAAACAAAACGGAAACUAUGGACUGACACCAUUGUUGAAUACCUGGUAUAUAGUACCAUCAAUUGUAUUAAUUACUAUAGGUAUUCGUAUACAGGUGUAUCCUUCAAGCUCACUGUUACCUAUCAAAUUUCUCAUUCUUUACCACAUUUGUUUACGGCUCAAUAUUUGCAUACACAAUGAGUUAAAAUAAUUUCUAGUAUUUCGUUAUCAAGAAAGAAUCCAGAAUUUGACACCUUUAUCUCACGCCAACAAAUAUAAAAUUUGACAUCUAUAUCUCGGGAACAAAUACAGCAUUCCUUUAUUGUGUAUGACAUAUUCCUAAUCUUUAUGGUAGAGUACCUGGUCACGCCUACCACGGGAGUUAGUAUCCGACCAAAAGGAUACACGCCAACAAGUUAGUGUAACAAACUAAUUAGGUUGAUGUUUAACAUAAAAAAAAAGAGUUAAUUAUUAAAGACUAAGUAUACUGAAAUCUACUACAGACCAUGUCUGGUUAUAUAGAACUAUUGACAGACCUAUAAAGUUGGCUAUAUUAGACAAUGGUAUCAACUUCCCAAUAUCCUAUAAAGUUGGCUAUAUUAGACAAUGGUAUCAACUUCCCAAUAUCCUAUAAAGUUGGCUAUAUUAGACAAUGGUAUCAACUUCCCAAUAUCCUUCGUAGUCAUGCUGUAUUAGACAAUGAUACCAACUUACUGAUAUCCUAUAAAGUUUGCUGUAUUAGACAAUGGUACCAACAUCCCGAUAUCCUAUAAAGUUGUGCUACAUUAGACAAUGGUACCAACAUCCCGAUAUCCUAUAAAGUUGGCUGUAUUAGACAAUGGUACCAACAUCCCGAUAUCCUAUAAAGUUGGCUAUAUUAGACAAUGGUACCAACAUCCCGAUAUCCUAUAAAGUUGUGCUAUAUUAGACAAUGGUAUCAACUUACAGAUAUCCUAUAAAGUUGGCUAUAUUAGACAAUAGUACCAACAUCCCGAUAUCCUAUAAAGUUGUGCUACAUUAGACAAUGGUACCAACAUCCCGAUAUCCUAUAAAGUUGGCUGUAUUAGACAAUGGUACCAACAUCCCGAUAUCCUAUAAAGUUGGCUGUAUUAGACAAUGGUACCAACAUCCCGAUAUCCUAUAAAGUUGGCUAUAUUAGACAAUGGUACCAACAUCCCGAUAUCCUAUAAAGUUGGCUGUAUUAGACAAUGGUACCAACAUCCCGAUAUCCUAUAAAGUUGGCUGUAUUAGACAAUGGUACCAACAUCCCGAUAUCCUAUAAAGUUGGCUAUAUCAGACAAUGGUACCAACAUCCCGAUAUCCUAUAAAGUUGUGCUAUAUUAGACAAUGGUACCAACAUCCCGAUAUCCUAUAAAGUUGUGCUAUAUUAGACAAUGGUACCAACAUCCCGAUAUCCUAUAAAGUUGGCUGUAUUAGACAAUGGUACCAACAUCCCGAUAUCCUAUAAAGUUGUGCUAUAUUAGACAAUGG
This is a long non-coding RNA of Pecten maximus, 1645 nucleotides long. RefSeq lists it as uncharacterized. The record is from RefSeq and is a predicted model, not a curated record. The transcript has 2 exons. NCBI's taxonomy places the organism in Eukaryota, Metazoa, Mollusca, Bivalvia, Pectinida, Pectinidae.